Molecule: long non-coding RNA, 685 nt
Filed under: Homo sapiens (human)
Lineage: Eukaryota; Metazoa; Chordata; Mammalia; Primates; Hominidae
Description: non-protein coding MIR663AHG:69
Source: RNAcentral
GUGGCGGUGGGAUCCCGCGGCCGUGUUUUCCUGGUGGCCCGGCCAUGCCUGAGGUUUCUCCCUCAGCCGCCCCUCUGCGGGCUCCCAGAAAUACUAGGCUUUAGAAUUUCACCAUAUGAAUUUUGGGAGAGAGGAGCACAGUUCAGCCCAUAACUAACACACGUGAUGAAGAAGACAUGCCAACAGAGGGUUAAUUCCAGAUAAAAUGAAAUGUUCCAAACAGUACGUUUGGUUAUUUGAUUCAUCUGUGGGGGAAGGAAAGAUAAUUUUCCAAAGGACAUUCCUCCUAAAUUCUGUCUUAAAGUUGUUUACGGAAUGAAGUUGAUAAUAGUGAGACCUUGUUGGUACAAGACUAUGUAACAUAACCUGCGCUUCUCAACAAAGAAUUGCUUUUCUGACUUCUGCACUCAACUACUCAACAUGAAGGCAAUAAGAAUGAAGACCUCUAUGUAUAAUAAUUGACUUCCACUUAAUAAAUAAGGUUACUUGGUACACUGGUCGACAAAACCUUGAAAUGUUGAUGUUUAAGGGCUGUUGAUUGCUGGCAGCAAAGAAGUCCAACUGUGCUGGUACCCGAGAUAGCGUCUCCACAUUUUCUUCCAGGAUCAUCACCUUUGUUCUAAAUAGCUCCCACAUAGUGUGAACAGAAGUCAUAUGUUUUAGAUUUUCUGCCUUGGCACCCAGG